RNAcentral lists this ribosomal RNA (347 nucleotides) under uncultured bacterium. RNAcentral's name for it is "partial 16S ribosomal RNA". It matches the Rfam family "Bacterial small subunit ribosomal RNA", at positions 338 to 682 of the family's 1533-position model. The record is from RNAcentral.
CCUACGGGUGGCAGCAGUGAGGAAUAGUGGUCAAUGGGCGCGAGCCUGAACCAGCCAAGUAGCGUGAAGGAUGACUGCCCUACGGGUUGUAAACUUCUUUUAUAAAGGAAUAAAGUGAGGCACGGGGGCCUUUUUGUAUGGACUUUAUGAAUAAGGAUCGGCUAACUCCGUGCCAGAAGCCGCGGUAAUACGGAGGAUCCGUGCGUUAUCCGGAUUUAUGGGGUUUAAAGGGAGCGUAGAGGGGUUGUUAAGUCAGUGGUGAAAGUUUGCGGCUCAACCGUAAAAUUGCACUUGAUACUGGCAGUCUUGCGUACAGUUGCGGUCGGCGGAAUUCGUGGUGUAGCUGU